RNAcentral lists this ribosomal RNA (1368 nucleotides) under uncultured beta proteobacterium. RNAcentral's name for it is "bacterial SSU rRNA". It matches the Rfam family "Bacterial small subunit ribosomal RNA", at positions 27 to 1393 of the family's 1533-position model. The record is from RNAcentral. Lineage: Bacteria; Pseudomonadati; Pseudomonadota; Betaproteobacteria.
GAUUGAACGCUGGCGGCAUGCCUUACACAUGCAAGUCGAACGGCAGCACGGGUGCUUGCACCUGGUGGCGAGUGGCGAACGGGUGAGUAAUACAUCGGAACAUGUCCUGUAGUGGGGGAUAGCCCGGCGAAAGCCGGAUUAAUACCGCAUACGAUCUACGGAUGAAAGCGGGGGACCUUCGGGCCUCGCGCUAUAGGGUUGGCCGAUGGCUGAUUAGCUAGUUGGUGGGGUAAAGGCCUACCAAGGCGACGAUCAGUAGCUGGUCUGAGAGGACGACCAGCCACACUGGGACUGAGACACGGCCCAGACUCCUACGGGAGGCAGCAGUGGGGAAUUUUGGACAAUGGGCGAAAGCCUGAUCCAGCAAUGCCGCGUGUGUGAAGAAGGCCUUCGGGUUGUAAAGCACUUUUGUCCGGAAAGAAAUCCUUGGCUCUAAUACAGUCGGGGGAUGACGGUACCGGAAGAAUAAGCACCGGCUAACUACGUGCCAGCAGCCGCGGUAAUACGUAGGGUGCGAGCGUUAAUCGGAAUUACUGGGCGUAAAGCGUGCGCAGGCGGUUUGCUAAGACCGAUGUGAAAUCCCCGGGCUCAACCUGGGAACUGCAUUGGUGACUGGCAGGCUAGAGUAUGGCAGAGGGGGGUAGAAUUCCACGUGUAGCAGUGAAAUGCGUAGAGAUGUGGAGGAAUACCGAUGGCGAAGGCAGCCCCCUGGGCCAAUACUGACGCUCAUGCACGAAAGCGUGGGGGAGCAAACAGGAUUAGAUACCCUGGUAGUCCACGCCCUAAACGAUGUCAACUAGUUGUUGGGGAUUCAUUUCCUUAGUAACGUAGCUAACGCGUGAAGUUGACCGCCUGGGGAGUACGGUCGCAAGAUUAAAACUCAAAGGAAUUGACGGGGACCCGCACAAGCGGUGGAUGAUGUGGAUUAAUUCGAUGCAACGCGAAAAACCUUACCUACCCUUGACAUGGUCGGAAUCCCGCUGAGAGGUGGGAGUGCUCGAAAGAGAACCGGCGCACAGGUGCUGCAUGGCUGUCGUCAGCUCGUGUCGUGAGAUGUUGGGUUAAGUCCCGCAACGAGCGCAACCCUUGUCCUUAGUUGCUACGCAAGAGCACUCUAAGGAGACUGCCGGUGACAAACCGGAGGAAGGUGGGGAUGACGUCAAGUCCUCAUGGCCCUUAUGGGUAGGGCUUCACACGUCAUACAAUGGUCGGAACAGAGGGUUGCCAACCCGCGAGGGGGAGCUAAUCCCAGAAAACCGAUCGUAGUCCGGAUUGCACUCUGCAACUCGAGUGCAUGAAGCUGGAAUCGCUAGUAAUCGCGGAUCAGCAUGCCGCGGUGAAUACGUUCCCGGGUCUUGUACACACCGC